This 406-nucleotide ribosomal RNA is filed under the name uncultured bacterium. RNAcentral's name for it is "partial 16S ribosomal RNA". It matches the Rfam family "Bacterial small subunit ribosomal RNA", at positions 30 to 526 of the family's 1533-position model. The record is from RNAcentral.
AUUGAACGCUGGCGGCAGGCCUAACACAUGCAAGUCGAGCGAGCGGCGGACGGGUGAGGAAUGUCUGGGAAACUGCCUGAUGGAGGGGGAUAACUACUGGAAACGGUAGCUAAUACCGCAUACCAUCAGAUGUGCCCAGGUGGGAUUAGCUAGUAGGUGGGGUAACGGCUCACCUAGGCGAAGUUCCCUAGCUGGUCUGAGAGGAUGACCAGCCACGCUGGAACGGAGGCACGGUCCAGACUCCUACGGGAGGCAGCAUUGGGGAAUAUUUCACGAUGGGCGCAAGCCUGAUACAGCCAUGCCGCUUGUGUGAAGAAGGCCUUCGGGUUGUAAGACGCUUUCAGCGGGGAGGCGUUACCCGCAGAAGAAGCACCGGCUAACUCCGUGCCAGCAGCCGCGGUAAUUC